Eutrema salsugineum is the source of this 682-nucleotide long non-coding RNA. RefSeq lists it as uncharacterized. The transcript is spliced from 3 exons. The record is from RefSeq and is a predicted model, not a curated record. Lineage: Eukaryota; Viridiplantae; Streptophyta; Magnoliopsida; Brassicales; Brassicaceae.
UUCAUCGAAGAAAAAACUUUUCUCUAAAAACGACAAUGAAGGUGAUUCAUCGGCGAUUUGUAAUCGUAACACCAAAUCGGCGUGGUAUAUCUCAACGAUCUCUGCUUACCACUUCAACCGAUUGCUAAAGUAAUGCCGAGUCUCAACAGUGACACCUCAUCUGAAGGUCCAGAAAUGGACAUGGGGUGGGCAUAUGCAGAUGCCACAUUUGGCAUCCCUGAUAAAUGUUUCUGUGGUCGAGAUAUGAAACUGGAAUACCAGGCCGGUGCAGAGACAGGGAUACCAGGCUGCAAGUGUUAUACUUGUCCUGACUGGCUCAAAGAGGCGAAUGGUGAGUAUAGAUGACAAUGGUGGGAUGAGGCGGUGACCGAGCAGUUCUCGACCGUGCAGAGAAAGUUUGAAGAGCAAAGAGAGAUGAUGUUUAGGGUUUACAGACGUGAAGCUGUUGAUCCCACCAUUGGAUAUCUAAACAAAGAGGUCAGAGUGCUUCAAGAAGAAGUUUCCAGGCUGAAGGAGCACAAUGCUAACCAAGGUGAAGGCUUAGUGAUACUGUUUUUUUUUUUUUUUUUUGACAUUCCAGCUAUUUCAUAUUUGUUUAAGUAGCACUAAUGAGGUGCAUCUGUUCUCUGCUUUCUUUUACUAAGUAAUGUUCCCUACGUGGAGUUUACUAAUACAAAAAUGU